GUGUCAGCCGCCGCGGUAAGACGAAGGUGGCUAGCGUUGCUCGGAUUUACUGGGCAUAAAGCGCGCGUAGGUGGUCCUGUAAGCGAGAGAUGAAAGCCCAUGGCUCACCCAUGGAACUGUCCCUCGGACUGCAGGGCUGGAGGGCGGGAGGGGAGAAUGGAAUUCCCGGUGUAGCGGUGAAAUGCGUAGAUAUCGGGAGGAACGCCGGUGGCGAAAGCGAUUCUCUGGCCCGUUCCUGACACUGAUGCGCGAAAGCUAGGGGAGCAAACAGGAUUAGAAACCCCAGUAGUCC
This 292-nucleotide ribosomal RNA is filed under the name uncultured bacterium. RNAcentral's name for it is "partial 16S ribosomal RNA". It matches the Rfam family "Bacterial small subunit ribosomal RNA", at positions 505 to 796 of the family's 1533-position model. The record is from RNAcentral.